UACGUAGGUGGCGAACGUUGUCCGGAUUCACUGGGCGUAAAGCGCCCGUAGGCGGAUUGUUAAGUCAGGGGUGAAAUCCUGGAGCUCAACUCCAGAACUGCCUUUGAUACUGGCGAUCUUGAGUUCGGGAGAGGUGAGUGGAACUGCGAGUGUAGAGGUGAAAUUCGUAGAUAUUCGCAAGAACACCAGUGGCGAAGGCGGCUCACUGGCCCGAUACUGACGCUGAGGUGCGAAAGCGUGGGGAGCAAACAGG
Molecule: ribosomal RNA, 253 nt
Filed under: uncultured bacterium
Lineage: Bacteria
Description: partial 16S ribosomal RNA
Rfam family: Bacterial small subunit ribosomal RNA
Source: RNAcentral